AGCGAACGCUGGCGGCAGGCCUAACACAUGCAAGUCGAACGAACCUUUCGGGGUUAGUGGCGGACGGGUGAGUAACACGUGGGAACGUGCCUUUAGGUUCGGAACAACUCAGGGAAACUUGUGCUAAUACCGAAUGUGCCCUUCGGGGGAAAGAUUAAUCGCCUUUAGAGCGGCCCGCGUCUGAUUAGCUAGUUGGUUGAGGUAAUGGCUCACCAAGGCGACGAUCAGUAGCUGGUCUGAGAGGAUGAUCAGCCACAUUGGGACUGAGACACGGCCCAAACUCCUACGGGAGGCAGCAGUGGGGAAUCUUGCGCAAUGGGCGAAAGCCUGACGCAGCCAUGCCGCGUGAAUGAUGAAGGUCUUAGGAUUGUAAAAUUCUUUCACCGGGGACGAUAAUGACGGUACCCGGAGAAGAAGCCCCGGCUAACUUCGUG
RNAcentral lists this ribosomal RNA (434 nucleotides) under uncultured bacterium. Its description in RNAcentral is "partial 16S ribosomal RNA". It matches the Rfam family "Bacterial small subunit ribosomal RNA", at positions 29 to 507 of the family's 1533-position model. The record is from RNAcentral.